UACGAAGGGGGCUAGCGUUGUUCGGAAUCACUGGGCGUAAAGCGCACGUAGGCGGAUGUGCCAGUCAGGGGUGAAAUCCCGGAGCUCAACUUCGGAACUGCCUCUGAUACAGCACGUCUUGAGUCCGGAAGAGGUGAGUGGAACUGCGAGUGUAGAGGUGAAAUUCGUAGAUAUUCGCAGGAACACCAGUGGCGAAGGCGGCUCACUGGCCCGAUACUGACGCUGAGGUGCGAAAGCGUGGGGAGCAAACAGG
RNAcentral lists this ribosomal RNA (253 nucleotides) under uncultured bacterium. RNAcentral describes it as "partial 16S ribosomal RNA". It matches the Rfam family "Bacterial small subunit ribosomal RNA", at positions 524 to 776 of the family's 1533-position model. The record is from RNAcentral.